Molecule: long non-coding RNA, 722 nt
Organism: Mesocricetus auratus (golden hamster)
Lineage: Eukaryota; Metazoa; Chordata; Mammalia; Rodentia; Cricetidae
Exons: 2
Source: RefSeq, a predicted model, not a curated record
AUGUUUCUUUGCAGCAUCAACCGCAGCCAGUUUCCUGGCGGUGUCUCUGUCUCUCGCUAGAGUACAAGUUCCACGAGGGUAGUAUCGCCAUUUGGCCGCACUUCCGCAGGGCCAGGAUAACGUCCUGAUUCUCAAUAAACGUCUGUGAAGUCGGGGGCUGGAAAGAUGACAGCAACGCAAAGGUGCCAGCGGCCAAACUGAGACAGUGACCAGUGAUGUUUUCUGCCACCACCGAAACUGGAAGCUGAAAAGAGCAAGAGGCUCUGCUGCUCAGUCUUUUAUUCCUUCCUCCGUACACGCCCCUAGCCACGCCCAAAGUGGGUCUGGCUAGUGACGAAGUUCACCGCCUAUAUACGGCUUUAGUGGGUGUGGUUAGCAGUGCGGUAAACUGCCCUUUUAUUACCUCAUCUGUAUGCGCCUCUAAUACACCACAUGGCUAAUGGCGGAGUACUAAGUUUUCCCCUACAGACCAGGACCCAGAUCACGGGACUCUUGUAAGCCGCCGUCCUUUGACUUCGCAGUGACAGACGCCUACACCACACAAGCAAUAGAAAUGGGUACGCUGGAAGCUGUUGCCCUUUUCACCGAGAAAAUGGAAACAACAAUAAGAAAAGAAUUCAAUAAGCUGCCACCAACACAACCACCACCCACCAACAGAGUACAUCCAAACUCAGCUUUCUUGUUACUGUGAAUAAAUUUAACAAAGCCAACUCUUCUGAAAA